CAAUUUAAACAACGAAGAGUUUGAUCCUGGCUCAGGAUGAACGCUAGCGACAGGCUUAACACAUGCAAGUCGAGGGGCAGCACAGGUAGCAAUACCGGGUGGCGACCGGCGCACGGGUGAGUAACGCGUAUGCAACUUACCUAUCAGAGGGGGAUAACCCGGCGAAAGUCGGACUAAUACCGCAUGAAGCAGGGGCCCCGCAUGGGGAUAUUUGCUAAAGAUUCAUCGCUGAUAGAUAGGCAUGCGUUCCAUUAGGCAGUUGGCGGGGUAACGGCCCACCAAACCGACGAUGGAUAGGGGUUCUGAGAGGAAGGUCCCCCACAUUGGUACUGAGACACGGACCAAACUCCUACGGGAGGCAGCAGUGAGGAAUAUUGGUCAAUGGGCGUAAGCCUGAACCAGCCAAGUCGCGUGAGGGAUGAAGGUUCUAUGGAUCGUAAACCUCUUUUAUAAGGGAAUAAAGUGCGGGACGUGUCCCGUUUUGUAUGUACCUUAUGAAUAAGGAUCGGCUAACUCCGUGCCAGCAGCCGCGGUAAUACGGAGGAUCCGAGCGUUAUCCGGAUUUAUUGGGUUUAAAGGGUGCGUAGGCGGCCUUUUAAGUCAGCGGUGAAAGUCUGUGGCUCAACCAUAGAAUUGCCGUUGAAACUGGGGGGCUUGAGUAUGUUUGAGGCAGGCGGAAUGCGUGGUGUAGCGGUGAAAUGCUUAGAUAUCACGCAGAACCCCGAUUGCGAAGGCAGCCUGCCAAGCCAUGACUGACGCUGAUGCACGAAAGCGUGGGGAUCAAACAGGAUUAGAUACCCUGGUAGUCCACGCAGUAAACGAUGAUCACUAGCUGUUUGCGAUACAGUGUAAGCGGCACAGCGAAAGCGUUAAGUGAUCCACCUGGGGAGUACGCCGGCAACGGUGAAACUCAAAGGAAUUGACGGGGGCCCGCACAAGCGGAGGAACAUGUGGUUUAAUUCGAUGAUACGCGAGGAACCUUACCCGGGUUUGAACGCAUUCGGACCGAGGUGGAAACACCUUUUCUAGCAAUAGCCGUUUGCGAGGUGCUGCAUGGUUGUCGUCAGCUCGUGCCGUGAGGUGUCGGCUUAAGUGCCAUAACGAGCGCAACCCUUGCCACUAGUUACUAACAGGUAAAGCUGAGGACUCUGGUGGGACUGCCAGCGUAAGCUGCGAGGAAGGCGGGGAUGACGUCAAAUCAGCACGGCCCUUACAUCCGGGGCGACACACGUGUUACAAUGGCGUGGACAAAGGGAAGCCACCUGGCGACAGGGAGCGAAUCCCCAAACCACGUCUCAGUUCGGAUCGGAGUCUGCAACCCGACUCCGUGAAGCUGGAUUCGCUAGUAAUCGCGCAUCAGCCAUGGCGCGGUGAAUACGUUCCCGGGCCUUGUACACACCGCCCGUCAAGCCAUGGGAGCCGGGGGUACCUGAAGUCCGUAACCGCGAGGAUCGGCCUAGGGUAAAACUGGUGACUGGGGCUAAGUCGUAACAAGGUAGCCGUACCGGAAGGUGCGGCUGGAACACCUCCUUUCU
This 1535-nucleotide ribosomal RNA is filed under the name Parabacteroides distasonis. RNAcentral describes it as "bacterial SSU rRNA". It matches the Rfam family "Bacterial small subunit ribosomal RNA". The record is from RNAcentral. Lineage: Bacteria; Pseudomonadati; Bacteroidota; Bacteroidia; Bacteroidales; Tannerellaceae.